Molecule: ribosomal RNA, 505 nt
Filed under: uncultured bacterium
Lineage: Bacteria
Description: partial 16S ribosomal RNA
Rfam family: Bacterial small subunit ribosomal RNA
Source: RNAcentral
GACGAACGCUGGCGGCGUGCCUAAUACAUGCAAGUAGAACGCACAGUUUAUACCGUAGCUUGCUACACCAUACACUGUGAGUUGCGAACGGGUGAGUAACGCGUAGGUAACCUGCCUGGUAGCGGGGGAUAACUAUUGGAAACGAUAGCUAAUACCGCAUAAUAUUAAUUAUUGCAUGAUAAUUGAUUGAAAGAUGCAAUUGCAUCACUACCAGAUGGACCUGCGUUGUAUUAGCUAGUAGGUGAGGUAACGGCUCACCUAGGCGACGAUACAUAGCCGACCUGAGAGGGUGAUCGGCCACACUGGGACUGAGACACGGCCCAGACUCCUACGGGAGGCAGCAGUAGGGAAUCUUCGGCAAUGGACGAAAGUCUGACCGAGCAACGCCGCGUGAGUGAAGAAGGUUGUCGGAUCGUAAAGCUCUGUUGUAAGAGAAGAACGGGUGUGAGAGUGGAAAGUUCACACUGUGACGGUAUCUUACCAGAAAGGGACGGCUAACUACGUG